This 208-nucleotide ribosomal RNA is filed under the name uncultured delta proteobacterium. RNAcentral's name for it is "partial 16S ribosomal RNA". It matches the Rfam family "Bacterial small subunit ribosomal RNA", at positions 568 to 774 of the family's 1533-position model. Lineage: Bacteria; Deltaproteobacteria. The record is from RNAcentral.
CGCGUAGGCGGUUUGAUAAGUCAGAUGUGAAAGCCCACGGCUUAACUGUGGAAGUGCAUUUGAAACUGUCAGACUUGAGUAUCAGAGGGGAAAGUGGAAUUCCCGGUGUAGAGGUGAAAUUCGUAGAUAUCGGGAGGAAUACCGGUGGGCGAAGGCGACUUUCUGGCUGAAUACUGACGCUGAGGCGCGAAAGCGUGGGGAGCAAACA